AGAGUUUGAUCAUGGCUCAGGACGAACGCUGGCGGCGUGCCUAACACAUGCAAGUUGAGCGACGAACCAGGGCUUGCCCUGGGGCAAAGCAGCGAACGGGUGAGUAACACGUGGGUAGCGUGCCCCGAUAACCGGGACAACCCGAGGAAACUCGGGCUAAUACCGGAUGUGCCCACCGGACACCAGUCCGGUGUGUAAAGGAAGCUUCGGCCUCCGUAUCGGGAGCGGCCCGCGGCCCAUUAGCUAGUUGGUGAGGUAACGGCUCACCAAGGCAACGAUGGGUAGCUGGUCUGAGAGGACGAUCAGCCACACUGGGACUGAGACACGGCCCAGACUCCUACGGGAGGCAGCAGUGGGGAAUCUUGCGCAAUGCGCGAAAGCGUGACGCAGCAACGCCGCGUGGGGGAAGAAGGCCUUCGGGUUGUAAACCCCUUUCAGGAGGGACGAAGGUGCGACGGUGAACAGCCGUUCGCACUGACGGUACCUCCACAAGAAGCCCCGGCUAACUACGUGCCAGCAGCCGCGGUAAUACGUAGGGGGCAAGCGUUGUCCGGAAUCAUUGGGCGUAAAGCGCGCGUAGGCGGCCCGGUAAGUCCGCUCUGAAAGUCCAGGGCUCAACCCUGGAAAGCGGGUGGAUACUGCCGGGCUAGAAUCCGGAAGAGGCGAGUGGAAUUCCUGGUGUAGCGGUGGAAUGCGCAGAUAUCAGGAGGAACACCAAUAGCGAAGGCAGCUCGCUGGGACGGUAUUGACGCUAAGGCGCGAAAGCGUGGGGAGCAAACAGGAUUAGAUACCCCCGUAGUCC
This 802-nucleotide ribosomal RNA is filed under the name uncultured bacterium. RNAcentral describes it as "bacterial SSU rRNA". It matches the Rfam family "Bacterial small subunit ribosomal RNA", at positions 8 to 796 of the family's 1533-position model. The record is from RNAcentral.